Molecule: long non-coding RNA, 309 nt
Organism: Candoia aspera
Lineage: Eukaryota; Metazoa; Chordata; Lepidosauria; Squamata; Candoiidae
Exons: 3
Source: RefSeq, a predicted model, not a curated record
AGAAUGUAUGAAUUGCACGAAGCUCACAGACAUGACAGAAAGGCUGAAUAUCUUAGAAGCCAAAAUCCUUUUACUUGAGGCUGCAGAACGAGUUUCACCUUCAGACAAUGAUCUUCCGAUGACGAGAACUACAGCCACUUGGUAUGAUGAUUUGGUGCCUGAUGCUAUUCCACUAGCUAAUCCAGGAACAGCCCUGAGGAAACCAGCGGGACCUGUUGGACUCCCGGGACCAGCUGGGAAACCAGGACUGCAAGGGCCGAAAGGGGAAAAGGGAGAGGUUGGUGAAAGAGGACCGGCUGGACCACCAGG